GGCAAGCGUUGUUCGGAAUUACUGGUCGUAAAGGGCUCGUAGGCGGCCAACUAAGUCGGACGUGAAAUCCCUCGGCUUAACCGGGGAACUGCGUCCGAUACUGGAUGGCUUGAGGUUGGGAGAGGGAUGCGGAAUUCCAGGUGUAGCGGUGAAAUGCGUAGAUAUCUGGAGGAACACCGGUGGCGAAGGCGGCAUCCUGGACCAAUUCUGACGCUGAGUGAGCGAAAGCCAGGGGAGCAAACGGG
Molecule: ribosomal RNA, 245 nt
Filed under: uncultured bacterium
Lineage: Bacteria
Description: partial 16S ribosomal RNA
Rfam family: Bacterial small subunit ribosomal RNA
Source: RNAcentral